AUUUAACAUUGACAUUUCACAAAUAUUGCUGUAAAUCUGGUCAAAAUUAACAUUAAAAAGAAAAAAAUCACAUGUUUUUAAAAGUGUUUUGCUACUAAAUGUUGCAAAAAGUUGCUGUUUGUUUUAGAUUUUAGCACGCGCAACUUUACAAUCAACACUACCUCAACACCUUCCAGUUUCUCCACAAGCUUUUAGAUAAAGCUCUAUCGUGCUGGUGGUCCUUUUGGUUCGAGUCUUUUCUCCACGUGUUUGUGUUGUGCACGUGGAAACCUUCCCAUUGUUGGCCACAUGUGGCGCUGUUGCAGUGUUUGGACUCCUCAGGUGAAGAAUAGCUUAGUGUAGUUAAGUUGUUCAUCAGUGAAGUUGUUUCAGUUCUAACUCAACACUGACCACCAUGACGUCCACCUCAAAUAAUGGAGAACCUGUAACAUCCUCCUCAGGUGUUUCUGCACGUGAAGUGGACAGAACACCGCGUCGAUGUGACGGAGCUUUCUCAAUGUUUCCUCCCAACCAGAGACGGAGGAACGAGAUGAUGUCGGUGGCUCAAAAGGAAGAGGAGCUUCUUCAGAAGCACAAGGAAAACAACAAAGUCUCAGCUGUCCACACACACCCUGAACAACUCGGUAAAAAAGAUGGACUUGGACGAAAGGAGAAGACAGGAAGAAAGAGAAAAGGAUGAGAAUAUGAAAGCUGAACAAAGGAGGAAG
This 707-nucleotide long non-coding RNA is filed under the name Gouania willdenowi (blunt-snouted clingfish). RNAcentral describes it as "lncRNA (ENSGWIG00000015028.1)". The record is from RNAcentral. Lineage: Eukaryota; Metazoa; Chordata; Actinopteri; Blenniiformes; Gobiesocidae.